This 409-nucleotide unclassified non-coding RNA is filed under the name fungal sp. Its description in RNAcentral is "partial internal transcribed spacer region". The stretch from base 1 to 46 matches the Rfam family "Eukaryotic small subunit ribosomal RNA", at positions 1786 to 1831 of the family's 1831-position model. Lineage: Eukaryota; Fungi. The record is from RNAcentral.
AAGUCGUAACAAGGUCUCCGUAGGUGAACCUGCGGAGGGAUCAUUAACACUUAAACAAAACAAACACAACUCGGUAACCCCUUGCUAGUCUUUUAUUUAGUUUGUGAGUUCAAUCAAGGAGAUAAGACUAAGUAUUUUAUAGAUCUUGAGUUCUCAGAUGUAUUUCUGAUUGAUGCUCUCUAUGAUUUAUUUUGUUUUGACUUAUUGAUAGCUCUUACUUUCUAGAUAAAUUUCUAGUAAGAAACCUUUUUUAUUCUAUUCACUCGUAUUUAUACAAGUGUAGUAGUAUAAGAACUUAUACUAUCAGUACUGAAUCUUUUUCUCUCUCUUUUGCUUCUAGCAAAAUAAGAAAGAAAAAAACCUAAAUAAACAUUAAGCACAACUCUUAACAAUGGAUAUCUAGGCUCUC